GACGAACGCUGGCGGCGUGCUUAACACAUGCAAGUCGAACGGAAAGGCCCUGCUUUUGUGGGGUGCCCGAGUGGCGAACGGGUGAGUAACACGUGAGUACCUGCCCUUGACUUUGGGAUAACUUCAGGAAACUGGGGCUAAUACCGGAAAGGAGCUCCUGCUGCAUGGUGGGGGUUGGAAAGUUUCGGCGGUUGGGGAUGGACUCGCGGCUUAUCAGCUUGUUGGUGGGGUAGUGGCUUACCAAGGCUUUGACGGGUAGCCGGCCUGAGAGGGUGACCGGCCACAUUGGGACUGAGAUACGGCCCAGACUCCUACGGGAGGCAGCAGUGGGGAAUAUUGCACAAUGGGCGGAAGCCUGAUGCAGCAACGCCGCGUGCGGGAUGACGGCCUUCGGGUUGUAAACCGCUUUCGCCUGUGACGAAGCGUGAGUGACGGUAAUGGGUAAAGAAGCACCGGCUAACUACGUG
Molecule: ribosomal RNA, 467 nt
Filed under: uncultured bacterium
Lineage: Bacteria
Description: partial 16S ribosomal RNA
Rfam family: Bacterial small subunit ribosomal RNA
Source: RNAcentral